AGAGUUUGAUCAUGGCUCAGAUUGAACGCUGGCGGCAGGCCUAACACAUGCAAGUCGAGCGGGGGUAGCAAUACCCUAGCGGCGAACGGGUGAGGAAUACUUGGGAAUCUGCCUCGUAGUGGGGGAUAACGUUCCGAAAGGAACGCUAAUACCGCAUACGUCCUACGGGAGAAAGGGGGGGAUCUUCGGACCUCUCGCUAUGAGAUGAGCCCAAGUCGGAUUAGCUAGUUGGUGAGGUAAAGGCUCACCAAGGCGACGAUCCGUAGCUGGUCUGAGAGGAUGAUCAGCCACACUGGAACUGAGACACGGUCCAGACUCCUACGGGAGGCAGCAGUGGGGAAUAUUGGACAAUGGGCGCAAGCCUGAUCCAGCCAUGCCGCGUGAGUGAUGAAGGCCCUAGGGUUGUAAAGCUCUUUCACCGGUGAAGAUAAUGACGGUAACCGGAGAAGAAGCCCCGGCUAACUUCGUGCCAGCAGCCGCGGUAAUACGAAGGGGGCUAG
This 500-nucleotide ribosomal RNA is filed under the name uncultured bacterium. RNAcentral's name for it is "bacterial SSU rRNA". It matches the Rfam family "Bacterial small subunit ribosomal RNA", at positions 8 to 538 of the family's 1533-position model. The record is from RNAcentral.